RNAcentral lists this long non-coding RNA (564 nucleotides) under Triticum aestivum (bread wheat). RNAcentral describes it as "long non-coding RNA (TAES_LNC023021)". Lineage: Eukaryota; Viridiplantae; Streptophyta; Magnoliopsida; Poales; Poaceae. The record is from RNAcentral.
CCCCAGCUCAAGGUGAGCAGCCACCUCCCCCCUCUUGUAGUACUCUGAUUCAGCCUAGUUCGUGUUCUGUCUGUAGCCCCAAUUUCUUGUGAUAUGAAACUGAUGUGUGCACCUUUUUCGUAUAUAUGUGUAGUGCAGUCUGUAGUGCUAUGAAUUGAUUUCAGAUCAAGUCGAGAAUUUCCCUGCAGUCUGUAGUGCAGUCUGUAGUGCUACGAACUACUCCUGGAGGAGCCUGCAGCAAGAUCCACGUCAGAGAAGCUGUUCCCCCAGCUCAUUGAGUAGCCCCUCCCCCUCUUGUAUCACUCUAUUUCAGCCUGAAUUUGUGCCUACUGUAUGCGGCCAUCCCCAAUAGUUUGAGAUGGUACACUUCUUGCUGCUACUAUAUGAAUUGGUUUGUACAGUUCUAGUCAGAUUAAUAAUUUUAUUAUGUUGGUAGUACAUGUUCUUGCUGCUGAUUGCUUGUGAGAGGCACGCUAAUUUUUUGGUACAGUUCUAACAUCUGGUGAAUUUAGAAAAAUUGAAUGUUUUGUAUAGUUCUUGCACUUGUACUAUCAUAAAGUGCUA